CUGGGACCGGAAGAGUACGGUGGCCCGGAGGCAGCCAGAGACUUUCCACGCUCUUUUCAUUUUUCAUGUCAGGGUACCACACUGUAGCUCAGCGUCGCCAGGCUGGCCAAUACUACCUCAGUUUCCCAAGUUUGGAGAUUACAUGUUCUGUUUGUUUUCUUUUUUAACAAACAAUAAAUUUAGUAUAAAGUAAUGGUAGUUGGAGGUAACGUACAAAGUAGAGGUGCUACGCCAAGAUGAAGCGCCACAAUAAGGCCAUCCUGUGUCUGCUGGUUCUUCAUGCACACACCAAUUAUUAGGUGAGGGGUUGGUAUUGGGCCUUCCGUUGCAAUGUUAGGUGUCCAUUUUGUAAUGAGCCCCAUUGGGGAGUUCGACCACUUCCUUGAUCUGUCAGAUCUGAUUGAUCCCCUUUCUGCUCUCAGAAACAAGCCACCUAUCAGUCUGUAAACAAACAAACAAACAAACAAAAAACUAGAUGGUUCCUGGAAGAUGGUGCUGUUUCUGGUGUACUCGGAGGCUGCAGUCAUCUCCCUCAAAAUGGACUUAGAAGCUGUGUUUCCAGAGGCAAGCAGAUUUACCUGGGGACUGCAUGCAUGCUAAGUCCAUGGUUGUCACGUGACCAUGUGGAAACUGCUGCACAACAGGAGCUCUGGAGUCAGGUGUUGUCUCAAGUUCCUGAUCUUCCUCAGACUUGUCAGUGCUAGGAUUAUAGGAAUGCAGUAGCAUGGUGCCUUUCCUUUGGAAACAGUAUCCAUACUUUAUGCCUAAGAAAUUCCAUGGCUAGGUGUUACUAAUAAUUAUGACUGCUUGCGACACUGCAUUUCUAAUAGAAAACUGUUCAUCUGGGGCUGGGUAUUAGUGGGGAAAAUGUUUGUUUGCUAUGCAUACGAACCUGGGGUUGAUCCUCGGUGUUGCAGGGAGAGAAAAGCUAUGCUAGUAUUAUUCAUAAUAUUCAUUAUAUCUUUAUGCUGGGAGCAAUCCAAGAGCUGGUGAGAAGCAGAGUGCCUUAGCUAAAUUGGGGAAUAUUUACACAACAGAACACUAUGAAACAAUGUCUCGAAACAACAAAACCCCACAAUUAAAAAAAAAAAAAAAGAGGGGUUGGGGAUUUAGCUCAGUGGUAGAGCGCUUGUCUAGGAAGCACAAGGCCCUGGGUUCGGUCCCCAGCUCCGAAAAAAAGGACCAAAAAAAAAAAAAAAUGAGUGUGUAAGUUAAAACCUGUGCGAAGUUUUAAAUAAUUUUACAAUUUAGGUCUUUGUAGAAUUGAAGUUUGUCAUUCUGCUUCUUCAGUUGUUGUUGUUGUUGUUGUUGCUGUUGUUGUUGUUGUUGUUGUUGUUUUGAGACAGGGUCUUGAUGAAGUAGCCCAGGCUGGCCUCAAAUUUGUUGUCAUCCUACUGCAUCAGCUUCCCGUGUCCUGGGGCUGUGAGCAUUCACCACCAAGUCUGGUUCCAUGGUUUUCUUACGCUCGAUCUAUCAUGCCGGGCUUAGGCAGUGAAGGAGUUGGAAGACAGAAAGCUGGCGAUAAUGUAGUAGAAUAAGGGAGGCCAAGGUUCAGCUCCAGCAAGCAGCAGAACUCGGCAGCUUCACCACGUGGCUCUGGCUUUAGAGUCCAGACGGGAAGGGACUACUGGGACAACUGAUGUUGGUCAGCCUGAGCUAAGAAGUCAGCAGUGAUUAAGAAGUGACCAGCAUCACUGAAGUGAAAUCUUUCCUGAGAGCACAAAGAAGCUAUGUUCCAGAGACACCCAAGGUCGUACCUCGUGCUGCAGCUGGACUUGGUAACGUGUAAGAAUCACUCAGGUGGUACUGGCUUUGAAGGUAUGAAGGGGUCAUGGAGAGUGGCUGAGGCUUGGCACCGAGAGAGGCCAUGGAAGGCCAUUGGUGAAGGUGCAGCCUCAGUUGCAGUGGAUGGCCCAAGAUGGCCCAAGAAUGAAGGGGUCAUGCAAAGGAGUUGAGGCUUGGCACCAUGAAGAGAGCCCAUGAGAGGCUAUUGGUGAAGCCUGGUUGCAGCAGAAGUCCCCAGUGUAUUGGAGAUGCCAGUACCAUGGGAUGAUCACCAAGAACAGCAGAGGCAGUGAAGUGGAUCACCCUGAGUUUAGAGAGCUACAGAGGGCAGGGCUGGAGAAGUGACACCAGCCCUUUGGAGGAUCCCAGAAGAUCAUGUGUGGAUACCAGACAUUGGGACAAGAAACUGUGAAGCUGAAGUUGACUUGGAGACCCCAAGAUGUUAACGAUGCCAGAGCCAUGGGCUAUCUGCUGAGGAAAGCUGCUAACAGGGAGUGGAACCAGCCCAGGAGAUAGAACUUUAUUGUAGUCAACAAAGAUGAAAAAUGAGUUGGAGAUCUCAAGACCAUUUUGACAUCAGACGUGGAGAUGUAGAGUUCUGAGUUUGCCCAGCUGGUUUCCUGUUUUGCUUUGGGUAUUAGAGUUAAGUGAUUGGAUGACUCUCAGAAGAAACUUUGAACCUUGGACUUUUAACAUUGUUGAGACUGCUAUAAGCUAUGGAGACUUUGGAAGUUGGACUAAAAGUACUUUUUAAAUUUUGCUAUGUUUAGGUCUGGCCCCCAUAGACUCAUGUGUUUGAACAGGCCUAUCGGGACCAGGGAGUGGCAUGUGAUGGUUUAUAUAUGCUUGGCUCAGGGAGUGGCACUAUUAGGUGUGACCUUGUUGGAGUAGGUGUGUUAUUAUAGGUGAGGACUCCCACCUUGAUAAUGGAUUGAACCUCUGAACCUGUGAACCAGUCCCAAUUAAAUGUUGGCCUUAUAAGAGUUGCCAUGGUCAUGGUGUCUGUUCAGAGCACUAAAACCCUAAGACAACCCCAGUCCCGAGUACCAACAUCUUAGUCAGAAUAGACACCAUAACCAAGGCAACUCUUUUUUUUUUUUUUUUUUUUUUUUUUUUUUUUUUGGAGCUGGGGACCGAACCCAGGACCUUGCGCUUCCUAGGUAAGCGCUCUACCACUGAGCUAAAUCCCCAGCCCCCCAAGGCAACUCUUAUAAGGCCAACAUUUAACUGGGACUGGUUCACAGGUUCAGAGGUUCAGUCCAUUAUCAAGGCAUGAGCAUGGCUUUGUCCAAGCAGGCAUGAUGUAGGAAGAGCUGAGAGUUCUACAUCUUAUUCCGAAGACAAACAGGAGAAGACUAGCUUCCAGGCAGCUAGGAUGAGGGUCAUAAAGCCCAAGCCCAUGGUGGCCCACCAACUGCAACAAGGCCACACCUCCAAAUAGUGCCACUCCCUGGGCCAGGGAUAUUUGAACCACCACAGUGUGUGUGUGUGUGUGUGUGUGUGUGUGUGUGUGUGUGUGUUGGGGGGAGGUGGGCACUGUGUAUUCAGAUGCUGAUUACUGUGCCCAUAAAUCUGGUUGCAAUCUAGGCAUUGGCAUUUUCAAGCAUUUCCUGUUUUAAUGUUGUAAAAAUUGUUUUCCCUCAUAUCUGAUUGGUUAAUAAAGAGCUAAUUAGCCAAUGGUUGGGUAGGAGAAGAGGAAGUGGGAUUUCUGAUCCUCAUGAGAGGGUCCCUGGUGGGGACCAGAGGAGUUCCAGGCAGUUGAGCUGUCUGACAUGGGUGCUGGGAACAGAACUCCAGGUGCUGGAAACAGCUCCAAUCCUGUGCAAGUGCUUUUAACUCCUGAGCCAUCUGUCCUGCCCAGGUUUGUUUGAAACAGUGUCUCACUCUCUGGCCCCAAACUCAUCUCAGUUGUCCUGCGGAGCCCUCCUGAGUCUGAGAUUACAGGUGUAAGACACUAUACCUGGCUUUUUUUUUUGUUGUUGUUUUUUUUAAUUAUGUCAUUAUCACCUAGGAAAAUUAUGGGUUUAAUUAAACAAAUUAACAUCUUCCCUAUUUUGGGUGCGUCUCUAGAAAACCCUGACAGGGAUGGUAGUAUGGACAAAUUUCUUAAUCGGGUGAAGUCUAUAUUAGGGGUAUAUUGCUCAGGAAUGUGUUGGUUUUCAUUGUAUUUGUACAUAUUCAAGUGUGUCUGUCUUUGUGUAUGCCACCCAUGGAAGGGUGUUCAUGGAGGCCAAAAGAGGGUGUUAGAUCCCCUGAAGCUGACGUCACAAUUGGCUGUGAGCCACCUGAUGUGGGUGCUAGGACAUGAGGAACCUGGAGUGAAGGAAGCACUCCUACCCACUGACCCAGCACCACCUCCCAUGUCUCCAGCCCUUAACUGCUCCAAGUUUAUGUAGUUUCUUUUUCUUUUUUUUUAAAGAUUUAUUUAUUCAUUUAUUAUAUAUAAGUACACUGUAGCUGUCUUCAGACACACCAGAAGAGGGCAUCGGGUCUCCUUACAGAUGGUUGUGAGCCACCAUGUGGUUGCUGGGAAUUGAACUCAGGACCUCUGGAAGAGCAGUCGGGUGCUCUUAACCGCUGAGCCAUCUCUCCAGCCCGUUUAUGUAGUUUCUAAUCUAUUACAUCAUGUUAAACUUUUAAACAUUUUAUGUAUUUACUCAUUUAUUAUUAUUUAUGUAUUAUGUAUUUACUUAAGUGAGAAGGUGUGUAUCAGCAGAGGACACGGGACAACUUGAGGAUGUCCUUUCCUUCUACCAUGUGGCUUCCAGGGAUCAGACUCAGGUCAUUACACUUGGGCAGCAAGUACCUCUUGCUUGCUGAGCCAUUCUUCCUGCCCCAAAUCACAUUUUGGGGUGGGUGGUUUUGUUUGUGGUGUGUGUGUGUGUGUGUGUGUGUGUGUGUGUGUGUGUGUGUGAGAGAGAGAGAGAGAGAGACAGAGACAGAGACAGAGACAGAGACAGAGACAGAGAGAGAGAGGAGGAAUCAAUUUAGAGCCUCAAAACACUUAUGGUAGGGGCUGGAGAGAUGGCUCAGCGGUUAAGAGCACCCGACUACUCUUCCAGAGGUCCUGAGUUCAAUUCCC
Molecule: long non-coding RNA, 4867 nt
Organism: Rattus norvegicus (Norway rat)
Lineage: Eukaryota; Metazoa; Chordata; Mammalia; Rodentia; Muridae
Source: Ensembl